RNAcentral lists this long non-coding RNA (1461 nucleotides) under Anas zonorhyncha (Eastern spot-billed duck). Its description in RNAcentral is "lncRNA (ENSAZOG00000010847.1)". The record is from RNAcentral. Lineage: Eukaryota; Metazoa; Chordata; Aves; Anseriformes; Anatidae.
AGAGUACUGGGGGGUACUGGAGUGGUACUGGGGGGUACUGGGAGAGUAGUGGGAGAUACUAGGGGGUACUGGAGUGGUACUGGGGGAUACUGGGAGAGAACUGGGGGGUACUGGGGGGGGCCUGGGGGGUACUGGAGUGGUACUGGGAGAUACUGGGGUGGGACUGGGGAGUACUGGGAGAUUACUGGGAGAUACUGGGGGGUACUGGGAGAGUACUGGGGGGUACUGGAGUGGUACUGGGGGAUACUGGGAGAUACUGGGGGAUACUGGGGGAUACUGGGGUGAUGUCAAAGGGAUACUGGCGAAUGUUGGGAGAUACUGGGGGAUACUGGGAGGCACUGGGAUGCCNNNNNNNNNNGGGGGAUACUGGGGGGUACUGGGGGUGUACUGGGGGAUACUGGGAGAGUACUGGGGGGUACUGGGGGAUACUGGGAGAUACUGGGGGAUACUGGGGGAUACUGGGGUGAUGUCAAAGGGAUACUGGCGAAUGUUGGGAGAUACUGGGGGAUACUGGGAGGCACUGGGAUGCCACUGGGUGCCAUUAGGGUCCCAUUGGGUGCCCCUGGGCGAUACUGGGUGAUACUGGGAGCUACUGGGGUGGCGUUAUGGUGGCUCUAGGGUGUUACUGGGAGUUACUGGGGUGUUACUGGGAGGCACUGGGGUGCCACUGGGUGGUACUGGGAGGCACUGGGGCGCUACUGGGUGCCAUUAGGGUCCCAUUGGGUGCCCCUGGGUGGUACUGGGUGAUACUGGGAGCUACUGGGCUGCCGUUCUGGUGGCACUGGGAGGCACUGGGGUGGUACUGGUUGUUACUGGUUCAUACUGGGAGCCAACUGGUGUCCCCAGAGCGCGGUGGCGGUGGCGGGCGGGGCCACGCGGGCGGCCGUGGCCGUGCACCAGGCCCGCAGGGAGAACGCGGCCGAGGUGAGCGCCAAGGACGGCAGCCAGGUGAGACUGGUUUGGACUGGGACAAACUGGGAGCACUGGGAGNNNNNNNNNNGCCAUACUGGGAGGGUUCUGAGGGCAACUGGGGGGGGCUGGGAGGGGACUGGGACACACUGGAAUGUAUUGGGAGGUGCUGUGGGGGGACACUGGGCUAUACUGGGGGGCACUGGGCCAUACUGGGGGGCACUGGGCCCGGCUCCUUCCACGCAUGCGCAGAGCGGCGGCUCCUCGGCGCGCAAAAUGGCGCCGGGGGAACCCAAUGGCGGCCCCCAGCGCGGCUUCACGAGCGGGCAGCGCGCAUGCGCAGAGCAGGGCAGGGAGGGGGCGAGACAAAAUGGCCGCGCGCCCCCGUCACGUGCCGCCAAGAAGAUGGCGGCGCCCAGGGAGCGCCCCCCGAGGAACCAUAGAGUCGCGGAGCCGCGGGGGUCCUCCCGCUGUGCUGGAGGCGUCGCGGCCUAGCCGCCCUUCCCCCUCCCCCACCUCCCCCCCGCCGUCUUGACGUCACUUCCGGCUGGC